RNA transcript from Sapajus apella (tufted capuchin), 3766 nucleotides. It is a transcript of the gene named coiled-coil-helix-coiled-coil-helix domain-containing protein 2 pseudogene, with no coding region annotated. The transcript has a single exon. The record is from RefSeq and is a predicted model, not a curated record. NCBI's taxonomy places the organism in Eukaryota, Metazoa, Chordata, Mammalia, Primates, Cebidae.
AGACCACUUUAUGUUGGGAACCACCAUAUGUGACAAGUCAUCUCUCCCUGUUUCAGACUAAAUUUCAGCUGCUCAACCAUUUAGAUCAUUGUAGUCUGUUUAAGGCACUAAAAACAUAAAGGUAGAAAUUUAUAUUUCUUGGACACAUGAAAUGUGAUGACACAUACAGCAACAAGUCAAACACUCCUUUAAAUUUUCUACCUUAUGUCAAAUAUUUCUUACUUUUAAAGACAUUCUUAUCCUGGUACAAAACCCCACAUAAAUUGAUCUUAGGGAAUUUAAGAAAUUAAAAUUUCACUCCAUAGAGUACGUGGCUUUAUUUCUUCAUCACUGAACUUCGAGUAACAUUCUUCACCUGAUCUUGUCUGCAAUGUUUAACCAAGGGUCCAGAUCAUUUGCAACUUGGGUACAAAUGUUGUUCAUCUUAAAAAGCCUUCACAUAUUGCCUAGAAGAGUGUCUCACACAUAAUAUGCCUUCAUUAACACUUGUGAAUCCAUCCUGGUGAAAGUAUUGUCUAGAACAAUUAUACAAAAAAUCAAUUAUUAUAAUGCAAAUAAUAUUUUACACAGACCAAGGGAAUUCAUCAUAUUAAAGUAUUUUUUUAAUAAAAGGAAGGUUUUUAGAAAAUAAUGGCCUCUUCCUUCAUGUUAAUAUAUUGCAAACUUGGAUUUGGUAUAAAUCAAGCCCCAAAAAGAUUGCUCUGAAUUUCCAAUUUAAUUUCUGAGUAACAUUAUAAAGCAGUUCAUUAAUUUACUCCAAAAACAUUUAUUGAACACUUCUGUGUAGGGGAUAUCUAUUGCAUGGUCCAUAACCUCAAAUUCAGAGUUAAUAAAUCUUUGUUUAAAAAAAGUAGUUAAAGCAAAUAUUUUUAUUUCAUUUAUUUACUAUCUUUUUAAUAUAAUAAUGUAUUUAAAUUAGUGGUGUGACUUGCAUGAGUCAAUUUUUAUUAUUUGCUUAAAGCAAUGAAACAAGGAAUCUGCUUCUUUCAAUGUUCUCAUUGUCUAAUUAUAGAUAAAUACACUGCAUGAAUCAACAUGAGAAUUUUGAAUGUUUUCCAUCGCAAGAGAUAAAACCAUUUUUAAAAUUUAUUUAAAAUUUGAAAUUCAUUUAAAAAAUGCAUGGAUGUUCUUUUCUGCAUCAUAGAAAGUUUGCUUUGAUAUAUGGUUCCUCUGAGAGAUAUUGGACCUGGAUGCUGACUGACCUCGGGGCUUAUACUUUCAGCAUCACAGUCUCCAAAUCAGCAGAUGAUGUCACAGUGGGUACUGAAACUUCUUUACAGUGGCAUUCUUAUAUGAAGCCAAAUCUUUGCAGUAUUUUCAGUCUAUGGGUAGUUGUUAGAACCCUAAAAUAACUUAAGGUAGAAUUUGGUCAUUUAUUGUUUUUUAUUAAAAUGUCCAACUGAGAACAUCCCUGAACAUCUGAACCAGACAUUUCACAUAGAGCUUUAAAUAUUCACUCAUUCAUUCAUGCAAUAAAUAUUUAUUUAUCGAGCAUUCAAUCAUCCAAGGACUGUUCUGGGUAUACAUAGUUGCGAUGAAGUCAGUAAAUGUGCCUUCACAUGGUCUGCAUUCUAGUGGGGAAGUCAAAUAGAGGUAAGUACAAGACCACAAAGGAGGUUAAAAAACAAAGUGUGAAAGGGAUGCUAUUUUAUACAAGGUGAUCAGGGCAAUCCUCUCAGAAGAGGUGAUAAUUGCUCAGACACCUGACUAAAGUGAGGGAGUGAAGCUAUGACAUGGAGAAAGUCAUUUCAGACACUGAAGAGAAAGCCAGGGCAGGCUCUGGAGGGGCUUGUUUAUGUAGACAAGGAGGGGCAAAGAAUCUUGUGGAUAAAGCAGAAUGAACAAGAGAAAGUGGGAUUGUAAAUGAAAUAUGAGAGCGAAGCAGGGUUAAAGCAUGGCAUGAUCUUGAGAUUUCAUUCUAAAUAUGGGAAGACGGUGGUUAGAUCUGAGAGAGGAAAUGAUAUAGGUUAAAUUUUCUUUUUAAAAAGAUUUCUUAGGCUACAGAGUAAGAAGGAAUCUUAGGAAGAACGAUAAGGAUGGCAACAAAAAAUCUGUUAUAAGAUAAAACAUUACGUAAUCCAGAGAGACAUGAUGGAGCUUAGACUCAGAAACGGAGAUGCUAAGAAUGAUUUGAAUUCUGGACCUAUUGUGAAGGCAGAGCUGACAAGAUUUGCUGAUAGACUGACACUGUGAUGUGAAAGAGAGCAGAGAUGACUCUAGAUUCUAAACCAUGAAGUAAAUGUUCGUGUAGUUGACUGAGAUGGUGAACAAUGGGUUAGAAGAAUAUUGGGGAGAAAAUCAUGUUUGCUUUUGGAAUAUCAGUUGGAGAUGUUUAUUAGAUACCCAAAUGGGAUAGGAGGAGUAUACAGCAGGCUGGAGUUAAAGGAAGAGGUUGAGCUGAAACAGAAAUCUGAGAGUAGUCAGCUUAUAAAUUGUAUUAAAAAUUACCAAUCUGUAUGAGACCGUCAAAAGACAGCACAGAUAAAGAAGAGAAAACCCAAGAUGGAGAUGCCUCUCACUCCAACGUAAAGACAUCAGGAAACAGGAGGGUAUUCCAGAACGUUCAGUGAGGCAGAGGGAAAACCAGGAGAAUGUGCUCUCCUGGAAGCCAAGUAAAGAAAGUGUUUCAAAAGUGAGGGCAUGGGCAGGGGUGCAGUGUUACUGAGAGACUGAGUAAGAUGGGGACUGGGGACUGAAGAUUCACAAUUGGACUAAAUCUGUUUGAAAGCCAUUGAUGACCCAAUGAGAGCAGUUUCUAUGCAGUACUGAGCAAGAAAAGAGUAACUCCAGUGAGUUCAAAAUAACAUGGGAAGUGAGGAAGUAGAAAUGGAUACAGAAAAGUCAAAAUUUUUUCUACAAAGUGCAGCAGAAGAAUGAUGUAAAAGUUGGAGAUAAAUGUGAGAUUGAGAUAAUUUUUUAAAAACUAAUAUAGAAUGGGUAAUAGUGUUGGUGGGGCCAACAGAUAAAUGGCAAAACUGAUAAUGCGAAAGAAAAAGGGGGUUAUUGCAUGUCCAAAGGCCAAGCAGCCCCGUAGCUAGGAUGCCGUGUGAAAGCCGAAGUCGCACCUCCCGCACGGCCCCUCCGGCCAGCCGGGCGCCUCAGAUGAGAGCUGCGCCCAGGCCAGCGCCAGCCGCUCAGCCACCAGCAGCGGCACCCUCCUCUGCAGUUGGCUCUCCUCCUGCUGCUGCGCCCCGGCAGCCAGGUCUGCUGUCCCAGAUGGCAACCACUGCAGCUGGUGUGGCUGUGGGCUCUGCUGUGGGGCACACACUGGGCCAUGCCAUUACUGGGGGCUUCCGUGGAGGAAGUGAUCCUGAGCCUGCGAGGCCUGACAUCACUUACCAGGAGCCUCAGGGAACCCAGCCAGCACAGCAGCAGCAGCAGCCUUGCUUCUAUGAGAUCAAACAAUUUUUGGAGUGUGCCCAGAACCAGGGUGACAUCAAGCUCUGUGAGGGUUUCAGUGAGGUGCUGAAACAGUGCCGACUUGCAAACGGAUUGGCCUAAUCAAGAAGUUCCACCUGGAGAAAUGGAAAACCAGCUCUCAUAACCAAGUUAACUUAAUAUAAAAAUUUCAUUAAUAGUGAAGGUAUAAAGUGUAGCCAUCAGUUAAACCUCUCCUGUCAUUCCUAGCUUCCUUGCUUCAGAAUUGAAAUGGAAGGGGGUGUUCCUACUCUGUAGAAUUUGGAGUUGGUCAAAUGUUUGUGUGGCCUCCUUAAACUAGCUGUUAUGAUUUUAUUCUUUGUGAGUUAAUUAGAAUAAAGUGAUUUUC